AAACUUAAAUGAAUUGACGGGGACCCGCACAAGCAGCGGAGCGUGUGGUUUAAUUCGAUGUUACACGAAGAACCUUACCAGGGUUUGACAUGCAAGUGGUAGCGAAGCGAAAGCGGAGCGACCCUUCGGGGAGCUUGCACAGGUGCUGCAUGGCUGUCGUCAGCUCGUGUCGUGAGAUGUUCGGUUAAGUCCGCUAACGAGCGCAACCCUCGUCGUGUGUUACAAGUGUCACGCGAGACCGCCGGUCAUAAACCGGAGGAAGGUGGGAUGACGUCAAGUCAGCAUGGCCUUUAUGUCCUGGGCUACACACACGCUACAAUGGCCAGUACAAUUGGUAGCUAAGCCGCGAGGUGGAGCCAAUCCGUAAAAGCUGGCCUCAGUUCAGAUUGCAGCUGAAACUCGACUGCAUGAAGUCGGAGUUGCUAGUAAACGCAGGUCAGCUAUACUGCGUUGAAUACGUUCCCGGGGCUU
RNAcentral lists this ribosomal RNA (471 nucleotides) under uncultured Anaerolineaceae bacterium. RNAcentral describes it as "bacterial SSU rRNA". It matches the Rfam family "Bacterial small subunit ribosomal RNA", at positions 897 to 1382 of the family's 1533-position model. The record is from RNAcentral. Lineage: Bacteria; Bacillati; Chloroflexota; Anaerolineae; Anaerolineales; Anaerolineaceae.